Molecule: ribosomal RNA, 460 nt
Filed under: uncultured bacterium
Lineage: Bacteria
Description: partial 16S ribosomal RNA
Rfam family: Bacterial small subunit ribosomal RNA
Source: RNAcentral
CCUACGGGUGGCAGCAGUGAGGAAUAUUGGUCAAUGGACGAGAGUCUGAACCAGCCAAGUAGCGUGAAGGAUGACUGCCCUAUGGGUUGUAAACUUCUUUUAUAUGGGAAUAAAACGUUCCACGUGUGGGAUUUUGUAUGUACCAUAUGAAUAAGGAUCGGCUAACUCCGUGCCAGCAGCCGCGGUAAUACGGAGGAUCCGAGCGUUAUCCGGAUUUAUUGGGUUUAAAGGGAGCGUAGGUGGAUUGUUAAGUCAGUUGUGAAAGUUUGCGGCUCAACCGUAAAAUUGCAGUUGAAACUGGCAGUCUUGAGUACAGUAGAGGUGUGCGGAAUUCGUGGUGUAGCGGUGAAAUGCUUAGAUAUCACGAAGAACUCCGAUUGCGAAGGCAGUUCACUGGACUGUAACUGACACUGAGGCUCGAAAGUGUGGGUAUCAAACAGGAUUAGAUACCCUUGUAGUC